Solenopsis invicta (red fire ant) is the source of this 879-nucleotide long non-coding RNA. RefSeq lists it as uncharacterized. NCBI's taxonomy places the organism in Eukaryota, Metazoa, Arthropoda, Insecta, Hymenoptera, Formicidae. The transcript is spliced from 2 exons. The record is from RefSeq and is a predicted model, not a curated record.
CAUUUUAAGUAUUUGUUACAAUUAUAAUUAUAAUUUAUUUAACUACAUCUAAGCAUCUCUGAUCAUCGUUGUUGUAAUGACAAAUUUAUAAAGCUCAAUUAAACCAAAGCCAAUCCAAUAGAAAAAGAUGUGUUAUUUAUUAAUUAAAACUAACUUUUUCUUUUUUGCAGAAGUAGAGAGCACACAAGGAUGAGACAUUGGAAGCCUUUGCAAGAAGGUGAUAUAUUCAAUGUUGAUAUAACAGUUUAUCUUAAUGGCUAUCUCGGCGAUUGCUCAAGUUGGUGAGGAAGCUAUUCAACUUCUGUAUAAAGUAAUGCAAGUUCUUUUUUACAGAGACGCAAGAUCUUUCCCAAAGGUACAUUAACAAAAUUCCUAUGUAUAUAUCUUACAGACCAAUAAUUUCAACUACAUUGUUAACAAUCUGCUUGCCCUGCUUUUCAGUAUCAUUUUGCCAUUAUCACGAAAGAAAAAGAAGUUGAAAAACAAGGGCCGCUAACUUUGGAGAGCUAUUAGGGACCUGCAAUUCUAUAAAAUUUUUUUCUUAUUUAAAAUAAACUUAAUAAAAAAUCUAGAGUAAAGAUCCAUUUCUUUAAUUGAAUAAAUUGAAAGAAGUUUUCAAUUAUAUAUUUAUUUGCAUUACAUGUACAAAAGACUAAGAAAAUAUUGAUUCUGGUAACCGUAUUGAUAAUCUUCAUUCUAACAGACAUAAAUUUUACCUAACUUUUAUUUUUACAUAUAAAAACACAAGAUAGUACUUGUAAGAUUAAAACGCAUAUGUGCAAAUUAAUUUAUGUAUGCUAAAAAUAAUAUAUUUCAUAGGUACUUUUUAUAUAAAAUAGCAAUAAUAUUGAUUGUACAUUAAAGUGUUAGCACUUUGCA